GGAGUACAUAGGCCUCAAAUAAUGUGAGACUACCCCCUAAAUUUAAGCAU
RNAcentral lists this ribosomal RNA (50 nucleotides) under Anopheles sacharovi. RNAcentral describes it as "partial 28S ribosomal RNA". Lineage: Eukaryota; Metazoa; Arthropoda; Insecta; Diptera; Culicidae. The record is from RNAcentral.